Molecule: ribosomal RNA, 764 nt
Filed under: uncultured bacterium
Lineage: Bacteria
Description: bacterial SSU rRNA
Rfam family: Bacterial small subunit ribosomal RNA
Source: RNAcentral
GCGCUGGCGGGGCGUGCCUUAACACAAUGCCAAGUCGAGGCGGGAAGGCUUCCUUCGGGGGUUACUCGAGCGGCGAACGGGUGAGUAACACGUGAGUAAUCUGCCCUUCACUCUGGAUAGCCACGGGAAACGGUGAUUAAUACCGGAUACGACACGCUCCUGCAUGGGAUGUGUGUGGAAACUUUUUGGGUGGGGGAUGUGCUCGCGGCCUAUCAGCUUGUUGGUGGGGUAAUGGCCUACCAAGGCUCCGACGGGUAGCCGGCCUGAGAGGGUGACCGGCCACACUGGGACUGAGACACGGCCCAGACUCCUACGGGAGGCAGCAGUGGGGAAUAUUGGACAAUGGGCGGAAGCNUGAUCCAGCAACGCCGCGUGAGGGAUGACGGCCUUCGGGUUGUAAACCUCUUUCAGCACCGACGAAGCGAGCCUUUGGGUGAGUGACGGUAGGUGUAGAAGAAGGACCGGCCAACUACGUGCCAGCAGCCGCGGUAAUACGUAGGGUCCGAGCGUUGUCCGGAAUUAUUGGGCGUAAAGGGCUCGUAGGCGGUUUGUCGCGUCGGGAGUGAAAACACCGGGCUUAACUCGGUGCUUGCUUUCGAUACGGGCAGACUGGAGGUAUGCAGGGGAGAACGGAAUUCCUGGUGUAGCGGUGAAAUGCGCAGAUAUCAGGAGGAACACCGGUGGCGAAGGCGGUUCUCUGGGCAUUACCUGACGCUGAGGAGCGAAAGUGUGGGGAGCGAACAGGAUUAGAUACCCUGGUAGUC